Molecule: ribosomal RNA, 492 nt
Filed under: uncultured bacterium
Lineage: Bacteria
Description: partial 16S ribosomal RNA
Rfam family: Bacterial small subunit ribosomal RNA
Source: RNAcentral
AGUGAACGCUGGCGGUAGGCCUAACACAUGCAAGUCGAACGGCAGCACAGUAAGAGCUUGCUCUUACGGGUGGCGAGUGGCGGACGGGUGAGGAAUACAUCGGAAUCUACUUUUUCGUGGGGGAUAACGUAGGGAAACUUACGCUAAUACCGCAUACGACCUACGGGUGAAAGCAGGGGAUCUUCGGACCUUGCGCGAUUGAAUGAGCCGAUGUCGGAUUAGCUAGUUGGCGGGGUAAAGGCCCACCAAGGCGACGAUCCGUAGCUGGUCUGAGAGGAUGAUCAGCCACACUGGAACUGAGACAAGGUCCAGACUCCUACGGGAGGCAGCAGUGGGGAAUAUUGGACAAUGGGCGCAAGCCUGAUCCAGCCAUACCGCGUGGGUGAAGAAGGCCUUCGGGUUGUAAAGCCCUUUUGUUGGGAAAGAAAAGCAGCAGGUUAAUACCCCGCUGUUCCGACGGUACCCAAAGAAUAAGCACCGGCUAACUUCGUG